Molecule: ribosomal RNA, 529 nt
Filed under: uncultured bacterium
Lineage: Bacteria
Description: bacterial SSU rRNA
Rfam family: Bacterial small subunit ribosomal RNA
Source: RNAcentral
CCUUGACAUCCAGAGAACUUAGCAGAGAUGCUUUGGUGCCUUCGGGAACUCUGAGACAGGUGCUGCAUGGCUGUCGUCAGCUCGUGUUGUGAAAUGUUGGGUUAAGUCCGCAACGAGCGCAACCCUUAUCCUUUGUUGCCAGCGGUUCGGCCGGGAACUCAAAGGAGACUGCCGGUGAUAAACCGGAGGAAGGUGGGGAUGACGUCAAGUCAUCAUGGCCCUUACGGCCAGGGCUACACACGUGCUACAAUGGCGCAUACAAAGAGAAGCGACCUCGCGAGAGCAAGCGGACCUCAUAAAGUGCGUCGUAGUCCGGAUUGGAGUCUGCAACUCGACUCCAUGAAGUCGGAAUCGCUAGUAAUCGUAGAUCAGAAUGCUACGGUGAAUACGUUCCCGGGCCUUGUACACACCGCCCGUCACACCAUGGGAGUGGGUUGCAAAAGAAGUAGGUAGCUUAACCUUCGGGAGGGCGCUUACCACUUUGUGAUUCAUGACUGGGGUGAAGUCGUAACAAGGUAAGCGUACGUGU